This 560-nucleotide ribosomal RNA is filed under the name uncultured bacterium. RNAcentral describes it as "partial 16S ribosomal RNA". It matches the Rfam family "Bacterial small subunit ribosomal RNA", at positions 355 to 907 of the family's 1533-position model. The record is from RNAcentral.
UGGGGAAUUUUGGACAAUGGGCGAAAGCCUGAUCCAGCAAUGCCGCGUGUGUGAAGAAGGCCUUCGGGUUGUAAAGCACUUUUGUCCGGAAAGAAAUCCUUGGCUCUAAUACAGUCGGGGGAUGACGGUACCGGAAGAAUAAGCACCGGCUAACUACGUGCCAGCAGCCGCGGUAAUACGUAGGGUGCAAGCGUUAAUCGGAAUUACUGGGCGUAAAGCGUGCGCAGGCGGUUUGCUAAGACCGAUGUGAAAUCCCCGGGCUCAACCUGGGGAACUGCAUUGGUGACUGGCAGGCUAGAGUAUGGCAGAGGGGGGUAGAAUUCCACGUGUAGCAGUGAAAUGCGUAGAGAUGUGGAGGAAUACCGAUGGCGAAGGCAGCCCCCUGGGCCAAUACUGACGCUCAUGCACGAAAGCGUGGGGAGCAAACAGGAUUAGAUACCCUGGUAGUCCACGCCCUAAACGAUGUCAACUAGUUGUUGGGGAUUCAUUUCCUUAGUAACGUAGCUAACGCGUGAAGUUGACCGCCUGGGGAGUACGGUCGCAAGAUUAAAACUCAAAUG